Long non-coding RNA from Cydia fagiglandana, 817 nucleotides. RefSeq lists it as uncharacterized. The record is from RefSeq and is a predicted model, not a curated record. Lineage: Eukaryota; Metazoa; Arthropoda; Insecta; Lepidoptera; Tortricidae. The transcript is spliced from 2 exons.
CCGAGCCCCGUUCGGACUCUGGUAACCCCGUCGUUUGAUCUGUCACCGAUGGCUCGCCACGUAGCUAGCCGUUCUUUUUGGAUUUGGAAGAGAUCGUAGCAAGGUGGUUCGUUUCCUUUGCCCAGCGGCCUGGUGCUGUCUGAUGGCUUCUACCUAUAUCGCGGUUUAAGCCGCCUAAUCCUCGUUGGAUGUGAAUCGUCCUGGAAAUUGAAGCCCCGGGUGCAUUGGAAUUAUGCAAGUCCUUUCCUACGCCCGCUUAUUGUCUGCCCCGGGUAAGCAGCGACCUACUCGCAGUCCAGUAUAUUUAUUCGAUUCUGUGAAUGUCUGUUCCGUUACUUAGUAGUUUUAUAAAUUUCAGGGUUUCAAGAUUUACCGUCUUUAUUACGAGUUUACGGGGUGGCCUCAAAAUGCCAGCUUCUGCAAGCCGAGCUACCAGUGGCAAGGAGCUGUGCCUGGCGUUUCCAUACUUCCACGCAGAGGUUCCUGACCAACGUGGCGGUUGUAUUGUUUACGGUCUUUCGAAGUUUUGGAGGUUAGAUCGACCCUUUAUCUAAUAUGUAUUACUGAACCAGAGAUGCUGGUUCUGGCGCCCUCAUACCCUUAGUAACUUUUAAGUUUGUCCGUCAGUAGGCCGCUUCUACCAAAACAUUUUAAAAAAGAGUUCGCUAUACCCAUAACUGUUCCCUCAACACUUAAAUAAGAGUCUGAUGCUCAUGUUAUUUAGAUAAGAGCUAGUUUACCUUAAGUUCCUGUCAUUAAGGCCCUUAAGGCUCUCCGGGUUAGUUUUGAAAUUAUUUAAAUAAAUGUUUUAUUCAUA